AGAAGCCAACAAUGUGGAUUUAAUCAUCUACAUUUCAGAAAUGCAGACCAAAUGUCUGUGAAGAUGUCCAUUUCAUCCAAACAUUUCUUAGAUAUUUAUUUCAAAGCUCCCUGCUCAGUCAUUCCAACACUCCAUUCAUAUUGUAAGGAAUAUUGAUUUUUCUUCUAUUAGCAGUGGUAUGGGAGUUCUUGAGAAUCCCACAGAUUAGUUACCCUUAUUCUCUGUUAGACCUGUUUGAAUUGCCAAGAGGUCAUUUUGCAGCACAGGUAGGACUUCAGAGUAUCUCCUUAAAGUCUAUUUAAAUCAGAAACAUUUUUCCCUAUAGAAAUCACAUAAUGAUAUUGCUUUAUCAGGUCUAGUGUGGAAUAUAGAACUAUGGUUACUCCUCUGGUUGCACUAGCUGAAAAGCCACUGCCAGGGCGAAUGACAGUCUAUAGCACAAAGAAAAUAGACAACUUUGUUUCCUACAAGAAAGUUCAGUCGAAUUGCAUGUACUAUUUAUUUUAAAGAUAUAUUUAUUUUAUUUUAACCCCUAAACACCUUUCUCCCUCUCUCGUCUGUGCUCAAAUUCAGCUCCAAGUUAACCAUAACCAUUUCCUCAGUGGUAAGUAGCAGGAUUCUCAUGGAUGGGCACAGGGGAAACUGUGUAGCCCUUCCAUCUGGUAGGAUGAAGCCCCUUGUCUUCAUCAUCUGGGUUUGGCUAAUUAGCUGAGUUGAAAGCAUUGCAAAAAUUUAGCCCAUGGAAAUCACACUCCUGUAAAACCAGAAGCCCAUGGAAGCAUUAUUUUUUUAAAAAAUGAAUUGAUGUUUUAAAGAAAAAAUAACCCCUAAGUCUUGUGUCCUCCUUAAUGUGUAUUCUUUUAAGCAUCAGGAAAUUUGCCUUUGCUUAUUACUUUUCUAAAUGUAUUCAUUAUUCUUGAAUUGUUUUUGAUAUUAAGAAAUAUUUUCCUGGUAAGAUUCUGCCUCUCUGCUGAAUCUUUCAUCUAUUCAUUAAUUUUUGAUGUCUGCAAUGACUUAGUAAUUCCAGAGGAGGCAGGAAAGCUGUGAGGUUUAUACUUGUUGAGAAGCUGAAGGAGGUAAUGAUUUUUUUUUUUUUUUUGAGAAAACAGCAUUAAAAUAAUUUUUUAAAUUGUGUCUUUUCACCUGGGAUACUUUAACCAAGAGUUAAGUAACUGUUUAGUCUGGACUGUGAAUUUCAGCACAGACAUGAGCAAGGCAGCGUGUUGAAGGUGGCUUUGCCUAGGGGUUUCUCUCAGACAGUAGACAUGUUCCCUCUGAGUCACAGAUUCCCCAUUUCCUCCUUUCAGGAGGGCUGUGCUGGUUUGGACACUGAACUAGGACAGCCCAUUCAGUGCUCAGCAGUGAAAAGAGGAGUCCUGUUCCCUUUUCUCCCCUUCCAGCUCAGGUGCAGAGAAUGUUAAGCUGUUUUAUUUCCUUGUCCCACAUUCUAACAACACUUGGUCACAGAAAAGCUGAGAAACCCCACCCAAUUCUGUUUUCCAGAGGUUGAUAAGUGCAUUUUUAAACACGUGACAUAAAAGCCAGAAGAAUCCCGUGUAACCCCUCAGGCAUUCCCCACGCAGGACUCAGCAGCCUCUCAGAGACCACAUCAAUCAUCUUAUUCCCCCGUUUCCCCAGCUGAUUCCCCUUUCACCAUUCACUGGAGGGAUGCUAAUCCUGAAAACACUCCCAAGGAUGCGUUUGAAUGUGGUGGAUUUGAGCUCUGCUCAUCAGCUAAGCAGCUCUGAAUGGUGGCAUUGUCACAGCUCAGCAGGUCGUGCCAAGGGGACCCAGCACCCUCUGGAGAAGCUGAAACUGCUCCAUCAGUGAUGGUGCAACCAUGAUGAAAGGUUUGAGGGCCACCUUUCCUCCAGCCUGCCUCCCUGGCUGAAGUGUUAGAGCUCAGCUGGAGCCAUGAUCCAGCGCUAAUGAGCAUUUCUAGCUUGCAGCAUGUGAAUAGGGACUACUGAUGUGUUUAAUGUUAAACAUGUGCCUGCCUGCCUGCCUGCCUGGAGAGGGGCCUAAAAGCCAUGACAGAAAAGUCUAUACUAAUGAAGGGCAUUAUUACUCUCUUCCCUUUGAAAUCUGGUGGCAGAAUUCCCAGUGGGGGAAUUCCCAAUAGGAAUUCCCAGUAAAGCCAAAGGUGGCAUAAGCAUGAAGAUGCUUUGAGUGCAGAGAGAACAGAGAGCACUCAGGGAGAAGAGGAGGCAGAGUGGUGUAAAGGUUCUUUGUGCAGAAGGAUGCCAGGUGGUAACUGCAGGGACACGGGCAGUGCUGCCAGGCUCUGCUCGGGUCCCGUGGGGGGAUCAGAGUGCAGCAGGCCCAGGCUCUGCUGGCAGUGAAAUGCCAAGGCGUGUUCUGCUGUAUCUCCAGCUGUAUCUCCCUGUGGUGGCGUCCCACAGAACAACGAUGCCUCCAUUGUGGCUGCCUCACUCUUAUUAUGAAGUGGCUUGUCUAAAGAAAACUAAGAAGGGUGGGGAUUUUUUUUUUUUUUUACAUAUACAUGGAGUAAAAACAAUCCAAAUAUGCUUUAAUGGUUCUCAACAUGAUACUGUCAAUUCUCACCACAGGGUGGAAUUUGUUGGUGGAAAUUAAAUUAAAUUAAAACAGAAGAGUUUGGCUAUUGCUAAUGGGUACUACUGGGAGCCCUAAAAGCAGUUUGCAGUGUAGAACCAUAACAGCAGUGAACAUCCUUUAAUUCCCAGAAUUGCUUGGGUUUCACAGGGUCAUUUUGGCCUAUUCUGCUGCACUGCUGAGAAGUUGCUCUUUCCCUGUCUCUCUAGGUCCAUAAAGUCUGAAGAAUUUGGGAAAUGGCUACGGGCACCAAAUUAGUCUUUUUCUUUCUCACUCUUUUUUUUUUUUUUUUUUUCCUCCUUCAUUAAAUUAACUACUUUAGUUUGGAAGUUAGCAAUAAGUCAGUAGAAUUUGCAAACAACAGAUUUCUCUACUCUUUCAUUAAGAAAGUUUUAAAGAGCUUUCAGGAAAUGAGAGGUUAUCCCCUGUGUUGGGAAUAAACUGUGGUAUAAAAUACAAAUAUAAGUGGGAUUCUGAUUAAAUUAUUGAAGCAGAAAGAUUGCAGGUUUUUUUAAGGAGCAUGCUUAGGAGUAAAUGAACAGAAUAGUCCAGAUACUGUAGUAGGAGCUUCAGUUCUAAUUUCUGGUUUGGGUUUUGUGUUAGGUUUUUUUUUUUUUUUUUUUUUAAUAGUUACCUGUUAAACAACAUAAAAUCUAUAUAUACACUUACAGAUAUAUAUAUAUAUUCAGAAUAUUUAUAUGCAUUAUUUAAUUCAAUAAUGCUGUGAAGUUUGUUGGGAUGGAAAGUGGCAUAAAGAGGAAAACUUACACAUUUGAAACAGCACUAUUAUUUCUGUGUCUUUGAUUUGGUUCCCACUGGAAUAAACAAGAACCACACAUUAGUUGUGUGGAAGCAGGAUUUCAACUUCACAGACCCCGAAAGUUUGGCAGUCCCUUGGAGGCCAAGGUAAUUUGGUAUUUAGCAAUCCGAGCCUUGCGGUGGGCACAGUGCGUUUUGAAGGCAUUCAGAGCCGUCCUUGGGUGAGGGAGUGAUGCUUGCAGAGGACCCCAGUGAAUCCCUGCUGUUUUAAAAUGAGAUUAAGCCAUCAUGAGAUGUGGACUGGCUAACCCCAAACCAGGCGCGUUCGCCUGCAGCGCAGCCGCUAAAUUGUUCUGACAUCAGGAACCGCAGCGAGGGAGCUUGGCCUCAGAAGUGAGUCAAAGCAGCAUCUUUGUCACCAGUCAUUUUCUAUUUAUAAUGACACAGAUCUAUUUUAUAAUCACGGGGAGGCACAACAGGAGUGUGCUUUGUUCUGCCUAAAUCGCAUUUCUCGUGCGGGUGCGUUUAAACACAGCCCUUGGCCCCUUGCCCCACACCACACACACCCAGGGCGGGCAGUUCUGGCACAACAAUGCACACCCUGUCAUGCUUGAAUGCUCAAAGCCUCCAGUGCUGGAGCAAUAAACUCCUGCUAAAUGGCUUAAAAAUGCUCCCUUAAGUGCACCGAGCUGCCCCGCUGCUGCCUCACUUCUCAUUUCCAAUGAUGUUGCGUUUCUAAGCCUUGUGUUUCAAAGAAGCCAGGAGUAUGUCGAGUUGUUUAGUGAUGGAAAUUGCAGGGCAUUAUUAACUGUAAGAAUUUAAGAUGAAAAACCCCACUCCCCAACCCAACCCUGGUGCAAACCUGACAGCUUUUACUCCUGCCUGCGUUUUCAGAGGCUAUGAACAAAUUUCCAACAUCUGCUUGGUUUGGUUCCUGGAGAACUGGUCCUCAUCUGUGCAAACCCUCAGCACUAUGAUGGUAACACCCUCUUUGCUGCCUUUUUUUUUUUUUUUUCCUAAUGAAGGGUCCUGCUGUGUAUUUCCUAGAAAAUUAUGAUUUUGUGAUCAAUAGAUUUCUUUUUGUAACGUGUUUUCAGUUCUAAAGCCUGAAGAUCAAAACCAAGUUGCAUAGUAAGACUUGGGGUUGAGCAGAGUGCUUUUUUCCUCUCCAAAACCAUCAUUUUUCAAAUCCUGACUAAUUUAGAGCACAAUUCUGGUUACUUUGAGGAGGUCUGAGGUUGAAGGAGAGGAAGGGGAGCCCAUUGAGAGAGGCUAGCAGGAACCAGUCUCUGUAAGUCUUCAUAGAUACGUGGACAAGUUUCCUAUCAGUGUGUGAGUAACCUGUGCAGAGACCUGCAUGGCCCCAGUGGACCCACAGUUGCUUAAAACCUGCACUGAUAUUCAAAGACAAAAUUUGGGCUGUGAACCAUGACAUGAUGAUCAGACAUGAUACCUCUUCAGGGCAUUAUACCGGCAAAAAAGAGCUCAUUUGAAAGGACACUCAAAUUUUUAGCUACAGGUCAAGACCUGAGUUUACAUGACUCGAUCUUCUCCUCCAGAAUGUCAUUAAUCCUAGAAAUGGCUAAUGGCUUCAGGACUCCCACCUGAAGUACUGGGCUAAAAGCAAGAUCUGAAACUCAUAUGGAGAAAUCAGGAAUUACCUUCAAACUCAGACCGGGUAAGCUUCAAAGGAAAGUAAUUUAUUUGUAAACAACUAUUUUGUAGUAUCUGACAGCGAAAAGUAACUGUGUAUCCAGAGGUCUUCAUCAGAUAAGAAAGCAAGCCAGGAUCCCUUUGUGUACUUGUGUUUUUCAGUCAAGGAGCAUCCUCUCUUAAUGUGCAAUUUUAGAUUAAAGUGCAACCUCUUUGGGUAGGAACUCUGUAUUUGUUCUCUGCAUGUGCAGCUCUUUACAUGACAAGACUAUGAUUAGGGCCUUUGUGUGCUGCUCUAACCCUCAUAACCCGUAACAAUAGGAAAAAUAUAAUUAAAAUGUCAUUGCAGUUCACCUUUAUUAUUAUGAUUGUGAGACUCUGUCAACUGUGAAUAAAAUAAUGUCCUUUUUGUAUAAUAGGUAGUAUAUUUUAUUAUUGAAGAAAGAGUUAAAUUUAAUUUUUAAACACAAAAAUAUUAUCUGCUCAUUGUUUCAUUUUAAGCUUUUGAAUAUAUAAGCAAAUAUUUAUUUUUUAUCCUUCAAAUGAGUAUGUGUUAAAUGAAGAAACCCACCUUCCUGAAUUGGAGCUGUUUAUAAUUAUAUUCCAAGAGUGAUUAACACCUUAUAAUUUGAAUAAAAGUGGUUUAUUUUCUCAUUGGGUUAUUGUAGAA
This is a long non-coding RNA of Taeniopygia guttata (zebra finch), 5656 nucleotides long. Lineage: Eukaryota; Metazoa; Chordata; Aves; Passeriformes; Estrildidae. The record is from Ensembl.